Molecule: non-coding RNA, 74 nt
Organism: Oryzias latipes (Japanese medaka)
Lineage: Eukaryota; Metazoa; Chordata; Actinopteri; Beloniformes; Adrianichthyidae
Source: Rfam
GGCGCUGUAGCUUAGUUGGUUUAAGCGCCUGUCUAGUAAACAGGAGAUCCUGCGUCCAAAUCCCAGCAGUGCCU